CGGAUCUUCAUUAGCUUGCUUUUGAAGAUCAGCGGCGGACGGGUGAGUAACACGUGGGCAACCUGCCUGUAAGACUGGGAUAACUUCGGGAAACCGGAGCUAAUACCGGAUAAUCCUUUCCCUCACAUGAGGGAAAGCUGAAAGACGGUUUCGGCUGUCACUUACAGAUGGGCCCGCGGCGCAUUAGCUAGUUGGUGAGGUAACGGCUCACCAAGGCAACGAUGCGUAGCCGACCUGAGAGGGUGAUCGGCCACACUGGGACUGAGACACGGCCCAGACUCCUACGGGAGGCAGCAGUAGGGAAUCUUCCGCAAUGGACGAAAGUCUGACGGAGCAACGCCGCGUGAACGAUGAAGGCUUUCGGGUCGUAAAGUUCUGUUGUUAGGGAAGAACAAGUACCGGAGUAACUGCCGGUACCUUGACGGUACCUAACCAGAAAGCCACGGCUAACUACGUGCCAGCAGCCGCGGUAAUACGUAGGUGGCAAGCGUUGUCCGGAAUUAUUGGGCGUAAAGCGCGCGCAGGCGGUUCCUUAAGUCUGAUGUGAAAGCCCCCGGCUCAACCGGGGAGGGUCAUUGGAAACUGGGGAACUUGAGUGCAGAAGAGGAGAGCGGAAUUCCACGUGUAGCGGUGAAAUGCGUAGAGAUGUGGAGGAACACCAGUGGCGAAGGCGGCUCUCUGGUCUGUAACUGACGCUGAGGCGCGAAAGCGUGGGGAGCGAACAGGAUUAGAUACCCUGGUAGUCCACGCCGUAAACGAUGAGUGCU
RNAcentral lists this ribosomal RNA (767 nucleotides) under Bacillus sp. (in: firmicutes). RNAcentral's name for it is "bacterial SSU rRNA". It matches the Rfam family "Bacterial small subunit ribosomal RNA", at positions 67 to 817 of the family's 1533-position model. Lineage: Bacteria; Bacillati; Bacillota; Bacilli; Caryophanales; Bacillaceae. The record is from RNAcentral.